AAAACCUGCUUGAUUACAGUGCUUCAUUUUAUGGAAGUACUGCCAUUAUCCUGUUGAAAAAAAAAAUCUUGUGUUGAUCAUUUUCUAUUUUGCCUUCAUGAGGGUAAAAUUGUGAUGGACUAACAUGGACAAUU
Molecule: small nucleolar RNA, 134 nt
Organism: Phyllostomus hastatus (greater spear-nosed bat)
Lineage: Eukaryota; Metazoa; Chordata; Mammalia; Chiroptera; Phyllostomidae
Product: small nucleolar RNA SNORA69
Exons: 1
Source: RefSeq, a predicted model, not a curated record